UAUUAUUUCUCGUACUCAAAA
Molecule: non-coding RNA, 21 nt
Filed under: Caenorhabditis elegans
Lineage: Eukaryota; Metazoa; Nematoda; Chromadorea; Rhabditida; Rhabditidae
Source: RNAcentral